Molecule: long non-coding RNA, 1155 nt
Organism: Armigeres subalbatus
Lineage: Eukaryota; Metazoa; Arthropoda; Insecta; Diptera; Culicidae
Exons: 4
Source: RefSeq, a predicted model, not a curated record
AUGGAAUGAAGUCCGGUUUUUUCGUGCUCGUUGCUUCAAAAUUUGAAGUGUACUGCAUCGUGGUAAACAAACUAGUAAAAAAACGAUUCGCAAUUUUAAGAAACAGGAAUUUCAAGCGAUAUAAAACCGUUCCUUGACGAGUAUGAUGUUCGCAGGCAGGAAAGCUUCUCAGGUGCUGGAGUCGGUAAAUACGCAGAGGAUGGUCGCAAACAUUGGACCUUGUCCAAAUUAAACUAUCGGAUACUUUCCUAAAAAGAAGGAGAGGCAAGAAAACGCGUAAAAAUCUCCGGGAGCUAGUAGUCCGGUAGUAUUAAUAUCGCUGGCUGAAUAACCUGGUCUCUGAGUUUGUCGAGCUGAUCUUUGGGCCAGAUUUCCGCGUAUAUCGUCACUCUGUUCGUUGUCAUCAGCAGAGGGCAGACUCCUGCCCAGGUUUCAUUUGCGACACAUCACCUCCGGACUGUUACAGUUACACAACUUCCAACUUCUUAGAAGGAGUAACUGUUAUAUACCUACAUGUCUGCUGUUGGAAACUUUUGGUACCCAUGUUUCCGUAAGUGCUCCGUCGCCGAGCAACAAUAAGUGACGAGAAGGAGAUUUGAGCUACGGUGUUGGAUGGAUGGACGAAACGUUACAAGCCUUUGGGUGGUAGGAGAGUUUAUUAUCACUGCCUUCCAUCAGAUGCAUAAAACACAAGUGAAUGGCGAUUUGAUAAUCAACUUCCUGAAAGUUUGGAGCACAUCGAUUAGAUCCUGCUGUCAGGCUCAAACGAUUCCUCACGAAGCACUCGAUAGAAAAUCACUAAUGGUUCCCAGGCUACAACAGAAACCAUCACUGUCCGAAUAUUUGAUUUCGUUCAUUGAAGAUUGGAUAGCAAUGAAAAUGCAGAAAGGUAAGAAAAUAUUGAUGAAGGCUGCUGCUAAAAACUGUGCAACGUUAGUAAUGCUAUAAACGCCCAUUCAACUGGUCCCACUAAGAGAAAUGCGUGUAUCUCGCAAGCAGGCAGUGGUGGCUGCUGGAGUUCGUCAUUUGGAUAUAAUAACAACAUCAGAGAAUGUAAUAUAUGCCGAUUAGCGAUACCCAACUAUACUACCAAAAAACGUUGUUUUUUUUUCUAGAAAAUAAAAAUUGAAGAUGAAUAAAUUCCAAUGUUUGUAU